This 77-nucleotide transfer RNA is filed under the name Vibrio alginolyticus. RNAcentral's name for it is "tRNA-Asp". It matches the Rfam family "tRNA". Rfam says of the family: Transfer RNA (tRNA) molecules are approximately 80 nucleotides in length. Their secondary structure includes four short double-helical elements and three loops (D, anti-codon, and T loops). RNAcentral also lists the same sequence under 10 other names. Lineage: Bacteria; Pseudomonadati; Pseudomonadota; Gammaproteobacteria; Vibrionales; Vibrionaceae. The record is from RNAcentral.
GGAGUGGUAGUUCAGUUGGUUAGAAUACCGGCCUGUCACGCCGGGGGGCGCGGGUUCGAGUCCCGUCCACUCCGCCA